Molecule: non-coding RNA, 1542 nt
Organism: Carica papaya (papaya)
Lineage: Eukaryota; Viridiplantae; Streptophyta; Magnoliopsida; Brassicales; Caricaceae
Source: RefSeq, a predicted model, not a curated record
AAUAUGUUAAUAUUGAAUAAACUUAUUAGAAAUUAAAAUUAUUCUAUUGCUAUAUUUUCUUCACUCUGUAUAUUGAAUAUGUACUUUCAUAAACAGCUACUCUCAACCACCCUGUAUUCCCCCAAACCUCACGGACAAUUAUCUCCCACCCUCUGCGUUCUCCCACAGCCUCUCUCGGUUGGAAGGCCAUAAAGCCCCAAAAGACAGAAGAAGGAGAAGUUCAUAGGUUUCGACAUGUCGAAUUCAGGCAAGGAAAAACAACAAGGUCUAGAAUCUAAAAGCCCCAAAAAUAACAAGAAGAGAAUAGAAAUACAAGGGUACCCAGUGGAGGGAUUGUCCAUAGCAGGACAUGAGACCUGCAUCAUUUUUCCUACUCUCAAAUUAGCUUUUGAUAUUGGCAAAUGUCCACAACGUGCAAUUUCUCAGGAUUUCCUUUUAAUUUCCCAUGGCCACAUGGAUCAUAUUGGUGGAUUGCCCAUGUAUGUUGCAACUCGAGGCUUAUAUGGGAUGAAGCCCCCAACAAUAAUUGUGCCAACUGCUAUUAAAAAGAAUGUAGAACAACUUUUUGAGGUGCAUAGGAAAAUGGAUCAUUCAGAGCUGAAGCAUAAUCUUGUUGGCCUGGACGUGGGAGAAGAAUUUUAUUUAAGAAGGGACCUGAAAGUAAGAGCUUUCAGGACUUACCAUGUCAUACAAAGCCAAGGCUAUGUAGUUUACUCCAUAAAACAGAAACUCAAGCAUGAAUACCUUGGCCUUUCUGCAAAUGAACUUAAGAACUUGAAGUCAUCCGGUGAAGAGAUUACAAAUACCGUGACAGCACCUGAAGUUGCAUUUACUGGAGAUACAACAUCUGAUUUUAUAGUUGAUGAAGCUAAUGCUGAUGUUCUUAGCGCCAAGAUUCUUGUCAUGGAGAGCACCUUUGUUGAUGAGUCAGUGGAGGUGGUGCAUGCAAGAGAUUAUGGACAUAUGCAUCUGUCUGAGGUAGUCAACUAUGCAGACAGGUUUAAAAACAAAGCAAUUCUUCUUAUUCACUUUUCAGCGCGAUAUAUGUUGGAGGCCCAUCUUCUAGGGGGUUGUCGUCAUCAAGUGACGGGAGUAUGGUUUCUAGGAGGCUACCUUAUUCUCCAUCGCUUUGUGGUCUAUCAGGAAAUUCAAAAAGCUGUAUCUGCAUUAUCUCCUCCACUGGCUGGCAGAGUUUUUGCACUUACAGAGGGUUUCGAUGGAUGGAGCGGAGAAAAGAACAUUUGAUAUAAGCGUGCUUUUGUAUUCUAAUGUCAAGAGUCACUUUACUCGCUGCUUCUUUGGUUUUGGCAGUUCAUAUAUACACACAUACACGCGUACAUAUUCUGUGUAGAGAUUGUUGGUAAGUUCUUUUUAUGGAGAAUUCUGUUCGUUUCGAAAGCGAUACGCUCUGUCAUCAAGAUUAUGUUUGGAUUAAGGGAAUCAAGGAGAAACGGAUGGAAGAAGAGACGAGUACGGGACUGGUGUAAACAGAAAGUUAUAAAUUUGAAAUAGGAACAUAGCAUGUAUGAAUUUAAUAAUAAU